RNAcentral lists this transfer RNA (86 nucleotides) under Cordylochernes scorpioides. Its description in RNAcentral is "tRNA-Tyr". The record is from RNAcentral. Lineage: Eukaryota; Metazoa; Arthropoda; Arachnida; Pseudoscorpiones; Chernetidae.
UCUUUCGAGCCGGAUUUGAACCAGCGACCUAAGGAUCACCGUUGUAACAUCUACAGUCCUCUGCUCUGCCAACUGAGCUAUCGAGG